RNAcentral lists this transfer RNA (119 nucleotides) under Lachnospiraceae bacterium. Its description in RNAcentral is "tRNA-Leu". The record is from RNAcentral. Lineage: Bacteria; Bacillati; Bacillota; Clostridia; Lachnospirales; Lachnospiraceae.
GCAGGAGUGACGGAACUGGAAUACGUAUCUGCUUCAAAUACAGAGUUGAGCGGCUUGUCCGCGAUGCUUCUUGACCUCUGGUCAAGAAGAUACCCCUGGUUCGAGUCCCUUCUCCUGUA